RNAcentral lists this small nuclear RNA (287 nucleotides) under Jaculus jaculus (lesser Egyptian jerboa). RNAcentral's name for it is "7SK RNA (ENSJJAG00000001023.1)". It matches the Rfam family "7SK RNA". From Rfam's summary of the family: 7SK was discovered as an abundant small nuclear RNA in the mid-70s but a possible function has only recently been suggested. Two independent studies have found that 7SK RNA binds the CDK9/cyclin T complex (known as elongation factor P-TEFb). The record is from Rfam by way of RNAcentral. Lineage: Eukaryota; Metazoa; Chordata; Mammalia; Rodentia; Dipodidae.
GGAUGUGGGGGUGAUCCGCCUGUGACAUCUGUCACCCCAUUGAUCUCCAGAGUUGAUCCUGCUGAUCUGGCUAGCUAGGCGGGUGCCCCCUUCCUUGCUCACAGCUCCAUGUGCGCCCCUCCCAAAACUGCACUCUCUGUCAAAGAGGACGACCUGCCCUGAAUAGUCUCCUGCCAAGGGUAUAUGAAUAGCUACGCUCCCCUGCUAGAACCUCCAAACAAGUUCUCAAGGAUGGAAAGGGAGGUUAAGGAGACUCUCAAAUCAUACUUUGUUGAAUGCAUAGUUUU